GCAGCACUUGGUCAUGGCGGGGAUGCCCAAAUCUAGCUGGGGAAGGAAGGGAGAGGAGCGUCCCUUGGACUCAAACAGCUGCAACUGGGAGAGAUUUUACAGGGCCCCGCUGGCUCCUUCACCCAAACCAGAGAUACACUCGUGAGACCAAGGAUAAAUACAGCAUGGAUCGGGGAGGUUCUGCUCCCUUGGAGGCUAGCAACAAAUAAGAGAGCAAAAUACCAUCCAGCUGUGAGAUGCCAACAGGCAGUUGUCUCCAACCCUACCGAAGAGCAGUACGCUUCAAGGAUCCAGCUGUCUGCAAGCCAAGACAAAGCUCUCCAGCUGACAUUCCCAGCAGGUAGUGGCUUUUUGUGGGGGAAGGUAUUUCUCAGGACGGCAGCUACUCUUGUUUCCACCCUUUUGUCCUUUUGAAUAGGUUCUGCUCCAGACACACUUUUCCAGUGCAGAAAGCAUUGUUAUUUUGAGCAGUGGGGCCGAGUUAAGGACAGACAGAGAGCACAGAUCAGUUGGUUACAGCACACCCCCAUUAUAGGAUUAGCUUUGCACCAAAACACAAGUCCAUUGAGGUACACAGACACAAGGUAACAUCUGAGUUCAGGACACGUUGCAUAUUGUGCUAUUUUGGUGGCUAUGCUACAGAGAGAAGGGAUUGUGCCUAUAAUGGGCUGACUCUUACAGCCCACAGCUCCCAGGCAACACAGGGAGAGGAGGGCAGCAGCCAGGUCUGGCUACAGCCUGGUUCCCUUUCUGGAAAGAGCCAAGAAUUGGGACUCAGAGUCAAAUGUUCUUGAGCUGAAGAAGGAAGCUGUGGCAGGUUCAAAAUCUAAGGUAGAUUUUACAGGAUGGGAUCAAUUUUUAAUGACUUGCUUAUACUAUGGAUGAUAAAUUGUGCUCCUGCAGCCAGUUAUGGGGUAAGGUGGCAAUUCGGAGUAGGAGUGAGGCUGCUUUGGUAUGUGGGGGUAACUGUUCCUAGAGAAAACCUUCAACAAGCUGAAGUUCCAGCUAUUAAAAUGCUUUACAAAGGUGACCAGAAAAAAUAAACAAGUCUUGGUGAGAAUUGUGAAAUCAGCAGAACUGCCCUCAAGAUGAGCCUCUGUAGGAAAGCUGCCUCCUCCUCUGAAAAACAAAGUUUAAUCAUUUGCAAAGUGAUCAGCUAGAUCAAGCCCAAGACACCACAGUUAACUUCUCUCCCACAUCUUGUUUGUAGCUGAGAGGAAAACAGAAACGAAGGCAAGGCACUAGCGAUAGGGCUCCCCGUUCUACGUGAGCAUUGACUCAGAGCCUGUUGUUAUUUAUUGCCUGCCCAUCCCACAGGCAGGUCUGUGCCGGGGCAGGGGCUGAGUGGGUCACGCUGGCUGUUUUGCUGCCUGUGUUUCACCGGGCACCUCUCGUGGGCUGCCCGAGGGGUGAUGCUGAUGUAUAGAAGCACGGCCCUGCUGAGAAAGCCCGUUCUCUGGGAGAUGUAUUUCAGGGCACUGCCUCAUUGGCAUUGCCUUAAAGGAGAGCUGAAGUCGAGUUUCGAAUGGGAAGUGAGUUUCCCUGAUGCAUUUUAAUAUUCCCAAGCUGUUGUGGCUGUGCCAAGAGGCUGGAAAACAGCCCGCUGGCUAGAGGAGAUUUGUGGCCCAUGCAGGAGGUCUGAGACACUGCAGUACUGGGGUAGGGUGGAGGGAAGAGAUCUCCAGGUGAACAGAUGCUCCUGAGGUCCCUUGCUGUGGUGGGAGGACCAGGUUGUUUCUCUGCUCUGGGCAGACACUGUCCUUCCUCACCACGGCCUGAGUGCUGUGGCAGAGGGCCUUGGAAGCUGUGCCUCACUUGAGGCUGUUGUUCCCCCUGAGAUGCCCAGAGAGAUUUUAUAAAGAGGAGGAGGCAUUUUCCUGCAAAUACUUGGGUAACCAUAACGUUCUGAGUUAAGGGAGCAAUCCAUCACCUUGUUUGUUCUCAGACCUCACCAGGUGCCGAUAAAUCGGGAGGAGAGGCUGGCAGCCAGACCAGCCAAGUGUUCGUGCUCAGCUGAAGAUGGAUGUGGCAAUUACAGGUGAGUCCUGACCUUUAUCGUGGCAAAAUAAGCUAUUAUCAGUAUCUCUGAAGUAGGAGAGUGGAAUGCACCAGUUUUGUUUCUUGGCUGGGAUAAAAGCCAUCAGGCCCUGCUUCAGCAGCAAGACAAUAAUGAUGGUUGGCAUUCGUUCUGGGCACGGGCAUCUGGUCUCAUUGGUUGGGAAUUGUCCCUGCAUCCCCUCUGCUUGCAGCUUGCAGUGUCUGUGCUAGCCACCAGCACAGACAAAUGGUCCUGGGAGGGUGCAGCGAGGCCCUGGGAGGCACGCAGGUAGCAUUUUAAGUUUCCUCCUUCAGCCAGUGAUUAAUGAGCUGUUCAGCAGAGGACAAGAACAGGGCUAAGAAGUGUGUGUUUGUUUUCCUUUCUAGGUGAAGAUUUCUCUGAUAAGAAGCAGGAUGCUCCUGGGGAGCAGGGAGGUGUUUGCACUGCUCUGUGGAGGUGCACAGAGAGCACAGGACCAGGGCAGGGAGACACCUGGCCUGAGAGCAGUGACUUCUCCAGGACUUGACAGUGGUGAGUCAAAAUGAGCUUCCUUCCCAAAAUGAGCUCUGAGUAUCAUCAGCCUUCCCUAAUUUCGCCUCGGGCACUCUGUAGCAUCUCUGUUUCUCCCGGUGCCCUCCCUGUGGGAUGAUCCAAACCCUUCCUUUUUGGUAAAUCUCUCAAAGUCCAAGGUGAGCAGUGGCUGCCUCAUUCCGCCUUGAGUACUAAAGGUUCCUCCGUGGUGACAGUGGGGCUCGUUUACCUUCCUGUUAUCUCCCCUCCUCCAACCCCUGCGAUUAGCCAACUCACGGCUGCUGAAUAACCACGCUCCGAAGGUUGCCGAGAUUACGGCCGCUGCCGACACCAACAGCCCCUUCGGAGCCAGGCCUGCACCAGCAGCUCGUCCUCCCCGCCAGGGCCUCUAACUGGGCGGCCGGGUCACCCCCACAGCCCGGCUGUAAGACCCGCGUCCUCUCCUCUUGUCCCAUUGCACCCAGCACAGACCAGUUGCUGCACAGGGGGAAGGCUGAGGGCUGGGUUUCUGCUGCUGGCACCAGCAGAGCAGUCGUGGUCUCUGCGGUGGCCUUCCCCUGCCACCCAGGGUUGGGUCAUGGGGGGCCUCGGGAAGGAGAGCUGCUGUGAGUUCCCACACAGGAGGGAAGGAGGGAGGACAGGGCAGGGAGAGGGCAGCCAGGAAGAGCUGGCUGGGGAUGUAGGAGCCAGCAGCACCGCUCUGAGGGCCUCAGCACCAGAUUAGGAAAGUAACAGAGCAGGUAACACCAGGACAGUGCUAAAUGCCUUGCCAAGCCAUUUUACUGGCAGCCCUCCUACCAUCCCCUAAUGGGCAGUGCCUGUCGUAGCAAAGCAGUCAGCAGCCCCACGUCCCCAGCACGGACGCCCUUC
Anas platyrhynchos (mallard) is the source of this 3439-nucleotide non-coding RNA. Lineage: Eukaryota; Metazoa; Chordata; Aves; Anseriformes; Anatidae. The record is from RefSeq and is a predicted model, not a curated record.